Molecule: ribosomal RNA, 253 nt
Filed under: uncultured bacterium
Lineage: Bacteria
Description: partial 16S ribosomal RNA
Rfam family: Bacterial small subunit ribosomal RNA
Source: RNAcentral
UACGUAGGGUCCAAGCGUUAUCCGGAAUCACUGGGCGUAAAGCGUGCGUAGGUGGGAAUUUAAGUGUGAUGUUAAAUCGUGUGGCUCAACCAUAUCGAUGCAUCGCAUACUGGGUUCCUAGAGGACGGCAGAGGCAAGUGGAUUUAGCAGUGUAGCAGUGAAAUGCGUAGAUAUUGCUAGGAACACCAAUGGCGAAGGCAGCUUGCUGGGCCACUCCUGACACUGAGGUACGAAAGCGUGGGGAGCGAACAGG